This 228-nucleotide ribosomal RNA is filed under the name uncultured bacterium. RNAcentral's name for it is "partial 16S ribosomal RNA". It matches the Rfam family "Bacterial small subunit ribosomal RNA", at positions 107 to 334 of the family's 1533-position model. The record is from RNAcentral.
UGAGUAACACGUAUCCAACCUGCCGUCUACUCUUGGCCAGCCUUCUGAGGGAAGAUUAAUCCAGGAUGGCAUCAUGAGUUCACAUGUCUGCAUGAUUAAAGGUAUUUUCCGGUAGACGAUGGGGAUGCGUUCCAUUAGAUAGUAGGCGGGGUAACGGCCCACCUAGUCAACGAUGGAUAGGGGUUCUGAGAGGAAGGUCCCCCACAUUGGAACUGAGACACGGUCCAA